GGACUUACUGUUGCCGUUAAAACCCUUAAUCAUGAUGGGCUUCAGGGUCAUAAAGAGUGGUUGGCUGAAGUGAAUUUUCUUGGUGAUCUUGUUCAUCCUAACUUGGUUAAACUGGUUGGUUAUUGCAUUGAAGAUGAUCAGAGGCUUCUAGUCUAUGAGUUUAUGCCUCGAGGAAGCUUGGAGAACCACCUAUUUAGAAGAUCUCUUCCUCUUCCAUGGUCCAUAAGGAUGAAAAUUGCCCUAGGUGCUGCAAA
Molecule: unclassified non-coding RNA, 254 nt
Filed under: Hevea brasiliensis (rubber tree)
Lineage: Eukaryota; Viridiplantae; Streptophyta; Magnoliopsida; Malpighiales; Euphorbiaceae
Source: RNAcentral